AUUGAACGCUGGCGGCAGGCUUAACACAUGCAAGUCGAGCGGGGGAAGGUAGCUUGCUACCGGACCUAGCGGCGGACGGGUGAGUAAUGCUUAGGAAUCUGCCUAUUAGUGGGGGACAACAUCUCGAAAGGGAUGCUAAUACCGCAUACGUCCUACGGGAGAAAGCAGGGGAUCUUCGGACCUUGCGCUAAUAGAUGAGCCUAAGUCAGAUUAGCUAGUUGGUGGGGUAAAGGCCUACCAAGGCGACGAUCUGUAGCGGGUCUGAGAGGAUGAUCCGCCGCACUGGGACGGGGACACGGGCCAGACUCCUACGGGAGGCAGAGGUGGGGUAGAUUGGACAAUGGGGGGAACCCUGAUCCAGCCAUGCCGCGUGUGUGAAGAAGGCCUUAUGGUUGUAAAGCACUUUAAGCGAGGAGGAGGCUACUUUAGUUAAUACCUAGAGAUAGUGGACGUUACUCGCAGAAUAAGCACCGGCUAACUCUGUGCCAGCCGCCGCCGUAA
This 501-nucleotide ribosomal RNA is filed under the name uncultured bacterium. RNAcentral's name for it is "partial 16S ribosomal RNA". It matches the Rfam family "Bacterial small subunit ribosomal RNA", at positions 30 to 523 of the family's 1533-position model. The record is from RNAcentral.